RNAcentral lists this ribosomal RNA (721 nucleotides) under Staphylococcus epidermidis. Its description in RNAcentral is "bacterial SSU rRNA". It matches the Rfam family "Bacterial small subunit ribosomal RNA", at positions 69 to 775 of the family's 1533-position model. The record is from RNAcentral. Lineage: Bacteria; Bacillati; Bacillota; Bacilli; Caryophanales; Staphylococcaceae.
AGACGAGGAGCUUGCUCCUCUGACGUUAGCGGCGGACGGGUGAGUAACACGUGGAUAACCUACCUAUAAGACUGGGAUAACUUCGGGAAACCGGAGCUAAUACCGGAUAAUAUUUUGAACCGCAUGGUUCAAUAGUGAAAGACGGUUUUGCUGUCACUUAUAGAUGGAUCCGCGCCGCAUUAGCUAGUUGGUAAGGUAACGGCUUACCAAGGCAACGAUGCGUAGCCGACCUGAGAGGGUGAUCGGCCACACUGGAACUGAGACACGGUCCAGACUCCUACGGGAGGCAGCAGUAGGGAAUCUUCCGCAAUGGGCGAAAGCCUGACGGAGCAACGCCGCGUGAGUGAUGAAGGUCUUCGGAUCGUAAAACUCUGUUAUUAGGGAAGAACAAAUGUGUAAGUAACUAUGCACGUCUUGACGGUACCUAAUCAGAAAGCCACGGCUAACUACGUGCCAGCAGCCGCGGUAAUACGUAGGUGGCAAGCGUUAUCCGGAAUUAUUGGGCGUAAAGCGCGCGUAGGCGGUUUUUUAAGUCUGAUGUGAAAGCCCACGGCUCAACCGUGGAGGGUCAUUGGAAACUGGAAAACUUGAGUGCAGAAGAGGAAAGUGGAAUUCCAUGUGUAGCGGUGAAAUGCGCAGAGAUAUGGAGGAACACCAGUGGCGAAAGCGACUUUCUGGUCUGUAACUGACGCUUAUAUGCGAAAGCGUGGGGAUCAAACAG